This 572-nucleotide ribosomal RNA is filed under the name uncultured Glomeromycotina. RNAcentral's name for it is "SSU rRNA". It matches the Rfam family "Eukaryotic small subunit ribosomal RNA", at positions 548 to 1114 of the family's 1831-position model. Lineage: Eukaryota; Fungi; Glomeromycota. The record is from RNAcentral.
UUGGAGGGCAAGUCUGGUGCCAGCAGCCGCGGUAAUUCCAGCUCCAAUAGCGUAUAUUAAAGUUGUUGCAGUUAAAAAGCUCGUAGUUGAAUUUCGGGAUUGGCACAUCGGUCGUGCCUCACGGGGUAUGAACUGGUGCAGUCAAUUUCUCACCUUCUGGAGAACCGCGAUGUCCUUAAUUGGAUGCCGCGGGGAACCAGGACCUUUACUUUGAAAAAAUUAGAGUGUUUAAAGCAGGCAUUUUUGCUUGAAUACAUUAGCAUGGAAUAAUAAAAUAGGACGGCAUGGUUCUAUUUUGUUGGUUUCUAGGACCACCGUAAUGAUUAAUAGGGAUAGUUGGGGGCAUUAGUAUUCAAUUGUCAGAGGUGAAAUUCUUGGAUUUAUUGAAGACUAACUACUGCGAAAGCAUUUGCCAAGGAUGUUUUCAUUAAUCAAGAACGAAAGUUAGGGGAUCGAAGACGAUCAGAUACCGUCGUAGUCUUAACCAUAAACUAUGCCGACUAGGAAUCAGACGAUGUUAAUUUUUUAAUGACUCGUUUGGCACCUUACGGGAAACCAAAGUGUUUGGGUUC